RNAcentral lists this long non-coding RNA (807 nucleotides) under Triticum aestivum (bread wheat). Its description in RNAcentral is "long non-coding RNA (TAES_LNC018732)". The record is from RNAcentral. Lineage: Eukaryota; Viridiplantae; Streptophyta; Magnoliopsida; Poales; Poaceae.
CUUAUGUUGCCUUCUCCUAUCCAUCUGUCCUUAUUGUGGAACUGGUGUUAACUGUCGGAGUUCUUAUAGGCAGAACCAUUGAUGGUGGAACCAAUGGAGCUGACAAUGUCAGGAUGACUCUGGUUUGAUGUGGUAAUUUUCUGAAACGGGUCAACAGGUAAGAAGGUCUUCUGAAUAUAGGUUGUGAGAUUUGGAUUGUUUGAUUUUCUCUUUGGAAGAUAUGUGGCGGCCAGUGUGGGUAGCAUGCACCCUCAAGCUACUGUCCAUUCGGCUAUAGGGAUUCACACAUGCUGAUAACACAUCGAAACAAUUGAAAUGGAGGUGACGCUAAUUAAAAAACGACUCAUGUUGGAUCAUAAAUGAUAUGCAGAUGAUCAUAAAUGAUAUGUAGAUGGUCCACAUGUUGUAUGACCAAAGUUCUCCCUUUGGUUUUGCUGUUUGAUAAUUUAUAAGUUGAAAGCAAUAUAUUACUAGCCCAUUUUGCUAUUACAAUUACAAACAUCACUCACCUCAUUCAAUUUCAUCACCUAUUUUUUUGUCAAAUGGCUAAAGCGUUUAUUUUACUUUCAUAUGAUAUGGCUCUUCCUUUGUUAUGAGGAGAUAUGAUAUAGCUCUACUUUAUGUUCCUGAGUUGAUCAUGAGUUUGUACGUACGCCUUGUUAAUAUGCAUACUCGUAGGUGCUACUAUUAAGUUUUGUGUGUAUCUACAUCAGGUUACUAACAUAUUAAUGCUUUUGUUUUCUCCAGCUGAAGAAGGGAUGCUGCAGUUGUUAGUUGUCGCCAAGUUUGUUGCAUCGCAUCCAUGUG